Long non-coding RNA from Ictalurus punctatus (channel catfish), 458 nucleotides. Lineage: Eukaryota; Metazoa; Chordata; Actinopteri; Siluriformes; Ictaluridae. The record is from Ensembl.
GGAAUACUGAAGUGUAGGGAAUACUGAAGUGUGUGGAAUACUGAAGUGUGUGGAAUACUGAAGUGUAGGGAAUACUGAAGUGUAGGGAAUACUGAAGUGUGUGGAAUACUGAAGUGUAGGGAAUACUGAAGUGUGGGGAAUACUGAAGUUGUAGGGAUACUGAAGUGUAGGGAAUACUGAAGUGUGUGGAAUACUGAAGUGUAGGGAAUACUGAAGUGUGUGGAAUACUGAAGUGUGUGGAAUACUGAAGUGUAGGGAAUACUGAAGUGUGGGGAAUCUUUUCAUUUCAUUGAUGAUUUCUCCACACAGCUCAACACCAAAUCCAUCUCCAUAUUUCUUUUGGAAGAUGAGAAAAAUGAUUUGAUGAAAUAAAGACAGCACCUCUUAUUCUUUUUCUUCGCCUGCGUCUCUCCUGAACUCUUCUUCAAAUGCCAAGCUUUCAGCGCCUGAGAUUCAUG